GGCCUCGUAGCUCAGCUGAUCGAGCGUGCGUGUGCAAAGCGUGGGCAGCAUCCAUGCGUAGGUUCGAAUCCCACUGGGGCUA
Molecule: transfer RNA, 82 nt
Filed under: Echinostoma caproni
Lineage: Eukaryota; Metazoa; Platyhelminthes; Trematoda; Plagiorchiida; Echinostomatidae
Rfam family: tRNA
About the family: Transfer RNA (tRNA) molecules are approximately 80 nucleotides in length. Their secondary structure includes four short double-helical elements and three loops (D, anti-codon, and T loops).
Source: Rfam by way of RNAcentral